Molecule: long non-coding RNA, 1148 nt
Organism: Tachysurus vachellii
Lineage: Eukaryota; Metazoa; Chordata; Actinopteri; Siluriformes; Bagridae
Exons: 2
Source: RefSeq, a predicted model, not a curated record
UGUUGGAUUCCUAAAGUUUCGUUUUCCUUUCUUCCUCCUCUUGCAGUUGCGUAACAUGUUCUUCAUGAGUAUUAAAGCUGCAGUGAGCUGUUCAUAGCACAAGUGAAGGAAGACACAUGGAAGGAUCCAGACUGACAAACAUGGCCCGGGUUAAGGACAUGUAUUAUGGAGUUGAUCAGGCUACAUUGAAUAAAGGACAAAAAGAAGCACACAUAAACAGAACACUUGAAGAAAACCCAGAUGUUCUGUUAAGGGUUUAUAAAAAGGGCAGACUUCAUAUGUUGUUCUUAAGACCGACUCGUCCUGAACUGUGGAUGAGUGUGAUUCAGAGAAGGAUUACAACCAACCUGUCUUUUCAAAUGACUAAGAGACGUGCUGAUGACAAUAUCUUCAAGAUCACCAUGUCUGGUCUUCAGAGCGAACUUCAACGCUUCUGUGAUGAGUUUGAAGAGGUUAGGAGAAAUAUGAUGCUAGAUGAAGGAGCAGCAACACAAAACAACCCAGAGGAUGAUGUUGAGGAGCUCAGAGCGAGAAUCAGGGAGCUGGAACUGGAAAACAGAAGACUUCGUGGGCGUCGAGAGCAUUAGAUGUGUCUUCAGACCAGGUCCACACCCGAGGCCUGUGUACCACAGUUCCACUUGUGGGAGCAAAUAAAGUCCAUCAUAAUCCUGAAUACUGAAAACCGGCUUUCAUUUAGUGCUGAACUUCACAAAGAAGGAAUGAAUUUCAAUUCAUCUAAGGCUUAGGAAUAGAUUUAAACUUACUCAUGUGUUUUUUUUCCUUGUUUAUUUAUUUGUUUGUUUGUUUGUUUGUUUUUUAGUUUAAUUUGAUUUAUUUAUUUUAUUGUAUUCGAUUUUAAAUGUUUAUUUGUCUCAUACACAACCUUACACAGUACGACAUGCAGAUAAAUGUUGUCCUAAAAGAAGAAUAAAACUGUUACAAUAAAAGUAGAUGUUGGAUUAUAUGUACAAAUAAAAGGAAUAAAAUAUAAAAAUUAUAAAUAUAUUUAUAUGAAUAUGAAGUGAGCAAACAGUAUGACAAUGGGAAAUAAAGUUCAGAUGUUUAUUAUAUUAUUUUGCAUAUAAUAGCCAUGUAAUAACAUUUACUGUGCGAUUUAAUAAACAUUUAAUAAAGUGAUUAUUAAAACA